UCCGAUUGGCCAGCGUGGAAUUCUGACGCGGCUUCUGGGUCCGAGAACGUGGCCCGUUCCGGCGCAGUGAGGGAAGGCGCACGCCUGCGAACUAGCCGGGCCGAUACCGCGGGCGCCCCCUGGUCGCGUGGAGGGCGAUGAGCGAACGACCCGGGACUUGUCUGAAUGGGACCCCAGCAAGGCACACGUGGUCUUCAAUGCGAUGGGCGCUUCCAGGGGACCCGGCGUCCCUUGGGUCCAGGAAGUCUUAUACUGUCUCCUCUCACGGCCCCGACAGAAACGGUUUCUGAGGAGUAGAAGUGUCCUAAGUGGAUUGGAAAUUACAAAUGCCGGAAAGAACCUAGGGAUGGAAAGCAGCCCUCAACUUUGACCAACCGCCGUGGGUUAGGUUUACAGUGGGGAAAAAAAAUAGAAAUUGUGCCUGACUUCAAUGACCGCCACUAUUUGAAGCAAACUGCCCAUCCAAGCCUUAUCAUCCCCUUUAACACCCUAAUGUUUCUGUCCAUGUGGACUUCGACGUGGUCCUCUAGAAUGGUUUUGUACUUCCCCGCGACUCAGCCCACCAGCACCCAGUUGAAAUAAACAGCCAUGUUGCUCACAGAAAGCCUGUUUGGUGAUCUCUUCACACGGACACAUGAAACAUUUGGUGCCAAAGACCCGGGUCAGUGGGACUCCUUUUGGAGACCAGUCCCCUGUCCUCACCCUCACUCCGUGAAGAGAUCCACCUACGACCUCAGGUCCUCAGACCAACCAGCCCAAGGAACAUCUCACCGAUUUUAAAUCAGGAAACUGAAUUCCAAAAAGGAAACGAACUAACUCAAAUUUUCCCUGAUCUGGAAUUACAAGCAUCAGCUCAUUAUUCCUGCAAUAAAACCGAUUGGCCAGGAGCUAAACAGAAGACUUCUAAAAAAUGAAAACCCCUGGCCGGGCGCGGUGGCUCACGCCUGUAAUCCCAGCACUUUGGGACGCCGAGGCAGGCGGAUCACGAGGUCAGGAGAUCGAGACCAUCCCGGCUAACACUGUGAAACCCCGUCUCUACUAAAAAUGCGAAAAAUUAGCCGGGCGUGUUGGCGGGCGCCUGUAGUCCCAGCUACUCGGGAGGCUGAGGCAGGAG
Molecule: long non-coding RNA, 1114 nt
Filed under: Homo sapiens (human)
Lineage: Eukaryota; Metazoa; Chordata; Mammalia; Primates; Hominidae
Description: HSALNT0112296
Source: RNAcentral